Odontomachus brunneus is the source of this 4555-nucleotide long non-coding RNA. RefSeq lists it as uncharacterized. The record is from RefSeq and is a predicted model, not a curated record. The transcript has 2 exons. NCBI's taxonomy places the organism in Eukaryota, Metazoa, Arthropoda, Insecta, Hymenoptera, Formicidae.
UACGGCUUAGAGCGCAACCGACGGCUCGACAAGAGAAGAAGCUGCUCUCGAUUAAUCCCCAGCAGUCGAAUCCUCUCGUUGGAGCAACGACUACCUCUCGCAAGUUGCGUCGUGUGGAAAAACUGUCCGAACCGUGUUGAAGCCAAGCGCGUUGCAGCGGGUGACGACGGGGCUCACUGCGUGUGUCACGACACAUUGUGAUUUAUCGCAAAACGGAAAAACCGGUGCUGCUGCAUUUGCAUCGGCUACGCGCGUGCGAAAGAGAGAGAGGGAGACAAUGACGGCCGAUAGGAAAAGAGAGCGAGAAAUAGGAAACCGACCAGCAACGACAUCACUGCCGUCGAGCGGCCUCAUCAUCGCCCGCCAUCUCAACCGAGGGGGAGAUGCAACGGCGAUGGUGUGCAGCCGCCACGAGAACGAGUGGGCCAGGAGGACACCACCGAGAACCUUGCACUGCCAUGGAAGAUUCGUCACCUAGUCGCUUCUUACUUCUCUCCUUCGUCUCGCUUGCGGACGAUCGCGCGAUUCUCAAGGACGGGUUACACUGAUGCAUCCGGCUCUAUGGAGGAGAAGUCACCGCUCUCGUUCUCGCCGUUCUUAAUCACGAUGCGACGCGACGCCACGCGUCUUGCACUGCCAACUUAUAACAGCACGAAAGAGAGAGAGAGAAAGGGAGAGACGCUAUUUUUCUUCCUUUUGUUUCUUUCUUUUUAUAUUCUACCAUUGACUGCGUUCAGCAGAGAAAGCUGCUUCGCAACUGUUGUAAAAUUCAUGAAUCUGAUUGGUGUGUGCUCUUAAAUUCAGCAAAGAUUAAGAGCAUACACUAAUCAGAUUUACUACAAGUUUUACAACAGUUCCAAAGCAGCUCGCUCUGCUAAACGCAGUCAUUGCAUCGUCGUGUUCCCUUUUUCUUUUGCUUUUUUUUUUCUCAACUUUUCGUUCUCUCACACGGCCAACACGCGGUUAACGCGGCCGCCGAGCCUGUCCAUCGUCGAUAAUGGACAGACCUGUCAUGUCACUACUCUCUUUCUCUGUUCGACGCUACUUUAUCGCUAUUAUCACACCGCAACCACUAGCAGCCCGCUACUUCCAGCACUGUCCGCCACCGGUCGCGAAACAUUUGCACGCGCGAACAUCGCACCGUUACCGUUAUCGCCGCACUAUCACCGCCGUCGCGACUAAUGCGGCGACCGCCGUUACCGUAUCGUUUCUCUGUUGUCUCGGCCGAGUACCGACGGUAUUAGAUCCGUCGAGCAGAGAGCGUGUGCUGGGAUCGCAGAAACGGUAUGGAGAAGCGAUUGUUCGCAGAAAGAAAGAGAGACGCCGCGCGUCCUCUUCAACGUUCGCGUCGUGCGGACAAACGUGCGGCCUGUCGACGCCGGCAAAUUCACAGACGAGAUUCAUACGUUGAGUCACGCGAAACCAUCGGCGACACUCCCCGGAAGGGGAGCCUCGUCGGCAGUUCCAUCGCGCUUGUCGCGCCAAAGACGACAGAGAAAAGGGUGUAUCCAUAUGAGUGGCAGGAGAUAUCUCUGGCGGCGAGAAUUGACGUCCUAGCGAAUGAGGCCUCGGUAAAAUAGACAUGCCAAGAUCUGAUUUUCAAUUGCGUAUUAUUUCGGGGCGACUCGACUUAGAUAGAUACAUUGGUAAUAGAUGUAACGUUAAAACUUAAGUAAUCUCGCGAAAAGAGACGCCGCGACGGCAUCCGUCGCCGGGCGUCACAUCCGACACAUGUACUCUGGGACUUUGCUCCCAGACAGAAAAAAGAUAGAAAAACAAUUGUAACUUGAUAGAAAAGGUCACUUGUAGGAAGAACUAUUGCGCGGAGAAUACUCCGCAGAUACACCCACUUGAUCUUCGAUCAAGUCCACCCGACAUUGAGACUCGAUCUAUUGGCAUUAUUCAUGUAAUACUCUGUGUAUGAAAGGAAUAUACAGUUUUCCAAAUUUUCACCCAUCUUGCGUAUUUCUUGAUUGUCGAAAAUGGCAAUUUCCACCCGAGAAAAGGAGAAGAUUGAAAGAAGCAUUCCAAUCACGACUGGAAGUUUGCUCUAUCAGCUGGGAUCCCAAUCGUUCGAUUUGCACAAGAUUAUCAGAUCCUGCUAAGUCGUGUAAAUCAGCGUGGCAAUAAAGACUUUAUUAAUAAUAGCUCUCCGUAUACAAUGCUGGAUCUGUGAGAACCGAAGAAAUAUUCAAUCGCUUACCAAUAUUUGUAAAAAUUGUAGAAUAGUGCAGAUUUGUAGAUUUUAUUGCGCUACUAGCUUAUAGCUUUUCUAUAUCCCUGCGAAAAGAAUGUUGGCCCAGAAAUAUUGAUUUCAACAAAGUUACGACAGUAAUUCAGUAUUCAAUGAAGUCAAUAUGAGAAUAUUGCCCAAAAAUUCCAAUAAAACUAUGAAACUAUGUGACACUAUAAUAAUAUGAUAAUAAUAUGAUAAUAUGAAACUAUGAUAAAGUCGCUCGCGUCUGAUAGACCCAGAUUAUGCUGCAUGUCCCAAAAACAUGAUUCUGGCAGAGGAUUAUUAAUAAUCAGGACCCAACAGGAUCUUACACAAACCAAAUAAUUGAUUGGAAUUAACCUGAUCCCAGAGCUGAUGGGACAAAUAUCUAGUCGGGGGUCGGAACGAGACGUUGUCUCGAGCACCAUUGCUCCCGUUCAGAGAUCACACGAAAGCGUCGCACAGGGGUGUGCUCGACGAGCCGCGACGUGUUCAUCUUCGUUCGGCGAGUUCACCAAUGAAACCCCUCCGCGACGUCAUCUUCGGGAGGAGGUGGUGUCGGUGCACCCCGUGCAUCGGUCGUGUUACACAUUGCUACCUUCCAGCAGGCGGUGUUGUAACGCGAACGCGCGUCUCGAGCCACGACGGUCGCGUACCUGGCAUUCCUCGCAUAGUGCAUCGGUUCGCUCGAUGCGACGCGCGCGGGCUCGUUGCGAUUCGCUCGCUCUUUCUUUCUUUCUCUCUCUCUCUCUUUCUCUCUUGUUUUCCCUCUCUCUCUCCCUCAUUCUCUCUCCUGCCCGAGCGGCGAACAUACGAGCACGCGCCGACACACGCGACAUCGCGCACAUGCACGCGUGUGCGACACACAACAGACUUGACAUGCACACCCGUGAAUCCACAUACACGCAUACACACACACACACACGCGCGCGCACGCACACACACAGACACACAUGCAAAAGCGCGUAUCCAUACCCAAACAUCGCACCCACACAUUCGCACACACGCACACGUCCCGAGACGCGCUCGUGCGCGAGCGCAUAUCUCUUCAACCCACGUAUAUGUGUACGAGUUACCGUAUUUCUCUUAAUUACCGCACGCACGAUCGAAUUAGCGCAUAAGUGAAGAACGCGUUCAUUCUAUCCCCCCCCCCCUCCCUUUGCCCCCUUAAUUAUUAUCCUAUUAUUAUCGUCCCUUACCAAUCUUAUUAUUUUUAUGGUAUAUAUUAUUGUAUUAUUAUAUUAUAAUUAUUCUAUUAUUAUUCUAUUAUUAUUAUUAUUAUUGUUUUCCAUUGUUAUACUAGUUAAGUGUUUCAGGACACUUCCUCCCGCGGCUCUCGCCGUUCCGUCGCGCCGGAUUCUCAGCGAGCGCGGAAGCGAGAACCACGCGCGGGAGGAGGGAGCCUCGCGCACACACAGAUGCGUUUUUUUUUUAAUUUUAUUUUUCUCCUUAACGAGUGGGGAGGCGAACGCGUGCACGGGGAAAGAUGUGAGUGUCGUGUAGUAGUACAAAAAAAUACAAAAUGUGUGCGAGAGACAAGCGGGACCGAAGGAGAAGCGCGAAGAAAGAGAAUAUAUAUAAAGGAUAUCUAUAUAUCUAUAUACAUAUAUAUUUAUAUAUAUAUAUGUGUGUGUAUAUAUAUAUAUAUAUAUAUAUAUAUAUAUAUAUAUAUACACACGUAUAUAUAUACAAUACAAAUAUAUAUUUUUGUACCUUUUAUUCUUCGAGGUAUAUCGACACACGGAUAAUCGAGAGACGCUCGCAGUUCACAUCGACGCGGCGCGUCCGAUCGAUCGCGAGUCGCUGUCGUAUCAUACAUCUCUCUCUUUCUCUCUCUCUGUCACAUUCUCUCUCUCCCAUCCUCUCUCUCUCGUUCUCUCGUUCUCUCCUUCUUCUUCAUGAUCCUCGUGACCUUUCUAUAUUGGAACGCAACGAUCCAUAGGCCGAUAAGAGUUCGUUACUUGAGGUCACGUUCGGAAGAGCGCGUCAAUCGUUUCUAUUAUUAAUCGUGAAUCGCCGCAAUUGUCGCCGUACGUCUGAACGUCACCCCGACUAAAGAUCCACGAUAAUGUUUGAGAGAGAACGAGAAAGAAAGAGGGAUAGUGAGAGAGUGAUGGAGGGAUAGUGAGAGAAUGAUAGAGAGAGAGAGAGAGAAAGAAACAGAAAGGGAGUCUCGAGUCACAAUUCCGAAAGCUGUCUCUUAAAUUAAUUUUUCCCCCUCCGCUCCCGUGCGAUUUGUAGGGUAUAAUGUAGCCGUUUGUUUUUCUUUUUGUCCUUUUUUUUGUAUAAGUGGUAAGAGUGCGAGAAAAAUGGAGAAUAAAAAAAAAGAAAGAAUCCGAA